This is a non-coding RNA of Myodes glareolus (Bank vole), 380 nucleotides long. Lineage: Eukaryota; Metazoa; Chordata; Mammalia; Rodentia; Cricetidae. The record is from RefSeq and is a predicted model, not a curated record.
UCUGGAAGACAGGAGCAGAACCAGUUUACAAUGGCAGAUGCCUCAGAACAGCUCAGAGGGGUACACACUCAGCCAGGGGCAGGCAAGGCUAAGUCACUACAAGAGCUCUGCUGCCACCUAAUGGGAAUGGUGCUCAAUUAAAAAGUCUUAUUGGUAAGGGUCCUUCAACCUGGGUUGAACCAAGGGUCGAGAACCAAGGGUUGAAAACCACUGGCUCAAAGACUCGUACCAUUUGGAGUUUGCUCUGAUUCCUGUGUGGAGUUUGAGAUGUGAGCCCUCAGCUGUUCCUGCCACCCAGCUUUCUACAGUGCCCUCCCUGGGAUGGUGAUGGGCUCUCUGCCCUCUGGAGUCAUAAGCCAAAUAAACUCUUCCUUCCACAA